This is a long non-coding RNA of Piliocolobus tephrosceles (Ugandan red Colobus), 3188 nucleotides long. The record is from Ensembl. NCBI's taxonomy places the organism in Eukaryota, Metazoa, Chordata, Mammalia, Primates, Cercopithecidae.
AACAGAACAGGCCAAAACAUAACAAGCCAAAACAUAACAAGUCAAAACAUAACCAACCAAAACAUAACCAACCAAAACAUAACCAACCAAAACAUUGCACAAGAAUAUACUUGUAACAAUUCCAAUUCUAUUGGAACGUGUUUUCCUAUGAAUUAUGAGUAUACUGGUGUUAAAAGUAGUAACAAUAGUAACGAUAAUAAUGCUUGUCAAUAUCUGUUUGUACAAGAAACUAAGCAGUCUGAAAAAAAUGGUAGUACAUCACAUGAUAUGCAAUAUGGUUUAGAAUCUAAAAAAAAAAAAGAAAACAUAUGAUGAUAAUAAGAAUAACGAAAAUAUAAAUGAGACAACAUUCAUGCGUAACGAAAAAAAUGAACAAAAAAAAAGAGAUUACUAAGAGUGGAAAAAAUACAUAUAAUAUGGGAAAUAACGACACAGGCAAACACGAUAUAAACAAUAGUAGUCAUAACAAAAAAAAAAUAAAUAAUGAUGAUGAAAAUAUGAGUAAUAGUAUAAAACUAAACAAAACAGAUGAAGAACUAUCUGUGUUAAUGCGAUGUAACUUAUUAUGUUCUGUACAUGCACUUAUUAAAAUGUUUUCUUAUAUUUAUAUAAAUAAUUGGAAUAGAAUAUUAUAUUAUUAUAAUGAAGAAAGUAAAAAAAUGAUACCUAUUUUUUUAACUAUUACUCUUAAUGAUAACAAUCAAAAAAUUCGAACUUACUCCAUUUUUUGUUUGAAAAGUUUAUUUGAUGGUAAACAGCUAAAGUUUUGGUUUUUGACUAAAGAUGAUGGUUUUAAUCGUGAUACUGAUGCUAAUACUGUUGGUGUUUAUUCUCAAGGUAACGAAAAUUGUAUUAAUGGAACUGAAAAUAAUGAACAGAAUGGUAAUAAAACAAAAGUUAGUGAUAGUAAUAUUUCACAUGUACAAAAUAUCUUUCAAUAUAAGAAAAGUAUGUCAUGCGAUACGGACCUACCAUACAUAAAAAGUUUUUCCCGUGAUACAGAUAUAACAUACAUGAAAAAGACGUUAAAUGAUCAAGAUACUCCACCAUAUGUAAAAAGUAUGUCAAGUGGUACGGAUGCACCAUGUAUGCAAAGUAUUUCGUAUGACACGGACUUAUCAUAUAUAAAAAGUGUAUCCUUUAAUACGGAAUCACAGUAUAUGAAAAGUGCUGCAAACGAUACGGACAUACCUUACAUAAAAAGUAUGUCAUAUGAUACGAAUCUACCCUUUAUGAAAAGUAUGUCGUGCAAUACAGAUAUAUCCUUCAUGAAAAGUAUGUCAUGCAAUACGGACUUUCCAUACAUAAAAAGUAUGUCAUGCAAUACAGAAUUAACAUACACGAAAAAUAAUAUGACAUGCAAUACGGACUUACCAUUUAUGAAAAGUAUGUCAUGUAAUACUGAUCUAGUACGUAUGAAAAGUAUUUCACAUGAUACGGACCUAAUAUACACAAAAAGUGUGUCAUACGAACAGGAUAUAGCACCAUAUGUAAAAAGCAUGUCCUAUACUACCGACAUACCACAUGAACGAGACAUGACACCAUACGUGAAAAGUAUGUCAUAUGUCACUGACACAUCACAUGAACAAGAUACACAACCAUAUGUAAAAAGUACGACUAUAUCUAAUAACAUAUCACAUGAACAAAAUAUACACCCAUAUGUUAAAAGUAUGUCAUGUGACACAAGUAUGUCACAAAAUAAAAGUAUAUUAGAAAAAUUUAAUCUACGCAAUAAUAUAAAUUUUUUAAAAAAUUAUAACAAAAAUGAAAAUAAUAAAAAUAAUGAUGAUACUAUAAACUAUGAAUUUGAAAAUAAAAAUUAUGACUCUUCAAAUAUAUAUUCAGUAAAUAAUAACAAUUACAAUAUAAAAAAUAAUAAGCUAUUAAGUAAGAUAAAUCGAAACAUACAUGAAGAACAAAGAAACACAGAAACUAAUUUAUUUAUAAAUGAUUAUGCAUAUAAAAAAGAAGAUGCUAUGUUUAACGUUUAUGAUGAAUAUGAUAACAGUAACAUAAAUUUAAAUAAAUUAGAAAGAAUAAACAGUAAUAACAGUAACACUAAUUAUAUUGAAGAUUAUAUGUCUAACGAAAUGAAUAAAGUAGAGCUAGAGAAAAAUGCUUUUGACAAAAAAAAAGAAUACAAUAAAAUAAAUGCUUAUAAUGUAAAACUUAAUACAUCCUUCUGUAACAAAUACAACAAAAAUACAAACAAUUCAACACAAAAAAUCAUAAAAACGGAUGCUACCAUGUUGGAUAAACAAUUUUAUGAAAACAUAAAUAAAAACUCGAUCAUUGAAGAUAAUCCUGUUGAUGUUAAUAUGGCUGAACGUAGUAAUAACACAAGUGCAGUAGAAUAUAAAAAUACGUAUGACAACAUAUAUAACAACAACGAUAUAUAUAAUAAUGUACAUACUAAUGUAAAUAAUAAUGUACAUACUAAUGUAAAUAAUAACGUACAUACUAAUGCAUAUAAUAAUAAUGAAUAUAAAAAAUGUAUAACAGAAAAUAAUAUUAUUAAUAUCUUAUCAGAAUUGAUUAAAAUUAUUGGCAAAACGUAUAUGUAUAAUGGCAAUAACGAAGAUAGCAAUAAUGGCACUGAUAUAUAUGGCAAUAACAAUGACUCUUUUAGCGGCUACAACAGUAAUGAUCGUGGUAAUACGCAUCACAUUCAUACAGCGACAGACAGAUUAAACAUUUACCGCUUUGUUUUAAGAGUUGCACAAUCUAUUGUUAUACCUAAAUAUAAAAAUAUACUUAUACAACUAUUUAAGGGUUGUUUUUUUUAUUUAUUAAAAUAUUUAAUUUAUUUUAAUAAUGGUGAUAAAUUUCAAUUUUGUAUAAAUAAACUAUUAAACAAAAAUUUUAAAACUAAAAAAACAUCACCUGAUAACACUAUUAUUAAUAAAAUUUGUUCAUCUGUUGACAUAUUAGACAAUUUAAAUGAUAACUGUAGUAACACAAGUAAUAGUAACACAAGUAAUAGCAACACAAGUAAUAGCAACACAAGUAAUAGCAAUACGAGUAAUAGCAAUACGAGUAAUAGCAAUACGAAUAAUAUCAAUACGAAUAAUAUCAAUACGAAUAAUAUCAAUACGAGUAAUAAUAACACGGAUAGUGACAACAAUAAUAAUAGUAAAAAUACACAAGAUAUUAGUAACGAUAGUAAAACAGAACAUGAUUACAAUAAA